Molecule: ribosomal RNA, 253 nt
Filed under: uncultured bacterium
Lineage: Bacteria
Description: partial 16S ribosomal RNA
Rfam family: Bacterial small subunit ribosomal RNA
Source: RNAcentral
UACGUAGGGGGCAAGCGUUGUCCGGAAUCAUUGGGCGUAAAGCGCGUGUAGGCGGCCCGGUAAGUCCGCUGUGAAAGUCGGGGGCUCAACCCUCGAAUGCCGGUGGAUACUGUCGGGCUAGAGUACGGAAGAGGCGAGUGGAAUUCCUGGUGUAGCGGUGAAAUGCGCAGAUAUCAGGAGGAACACCAAUUGCGAAGGCAGCUCGCUGGGACGUUACCGACGCUGAGACGCGAAAGCGUGGGGAGCAAACAGG